Zalophus californianus (California sea lion) is the source of this 538-nucleotide long non-coding RNA. RefSeq lists it as uncharacterized. The transcript has 3 exons. The record is from RefSeq and is a predicted model, not a curated record. Lineage: Eukaryota; Metazoa; Chordata; Mammalia; Carnivora; Otariidae.
AGUCUGAUCAUUUAAGAAACAGAUGACUUGUCCUUUAAAGGAAAUGUGACUCCCUCGCGUUUGACCCACUCUAACUAUAUGGUUGUUCCACUCAGACGCGGCAUGUUCUCCCCCCCACCACCAAUAAAUGAAAGUUCCAGUUCCCACAACGCCUUGACUGGAUCGAGCUGCAGGAAGCAAACGGGAAGAGAAGAGGAAAACGAAGGCCUUCAGGAGAGGGUGCCCAGGACAACGGAGAAGGGGGCAGGCAGGAUUGAAGAUCAGAGCGUGGCUGCCAGGAACGCGGAGCAGGACGGCUGGAGCCCGAAUCAGGGCAACGGCCCUCACCUUUUAGGGCACAUGAUUUCUUUACUGCUGGGUCCCUUGCACCUGGCACAGGGCGGGCGAACAAUACUUAUUUGUUGAAUAAAUGAAUGGUUCAGUGAUAACCAACCGAAGGACUUUUUGGUGCCCGCGUGAGUCCUUUCCGCCAGUGAACCUGCUUGGCUCACGGUCCUCAGAUAGGCUUGCUUGAAUCUUCUGGCCCAUGUCCCUCACC